UACGGAGGAUGCGAGCGUUAUCCGGAUUUAUUGGGUUUAAAGGGUGCGCAGGCGGACCGGAAAGUCAGCGGUAAAAUCGCGGGGCUCAACCCCGCCGAGCCGUUGAAACUGUCGGUCUAGAGUGAGCGAGAAGUAUGCGGAAUGCGUGGUGUAGCGGUGAAAUGCAUAGAUAUCACGCAGAACUCCGAUUGCGAAGGCAGCAUACCGGCGCUCAACUGACGCUCAGGCACGAAAGCGUGGGUAUCGAACAGG
RNAcentral lists this ribosomal RNA (252 nucleotides) under uncultured bacterium. Its description in RNAcentral is "partial 16S ribosomal RNA". It matches the Rfam family "Bacterial small subunit ribosomal RNA", at positions 524 to 776 of the family's 1533-position model. The record is from RNAcentral.